RNAcentral lists this ribosomal RNA (252 nucleotides) under uncultured prokaryote. RNAcentral's name for it is "partial 16S ribosomal RNA". It matches the Rfam family "Bacterial small subunit ribosomal RNA", at positions 524 to 776 of the family's 1533-position model. The record is from RNAcentral.
UACGUAGGGACCAAGCGUUGUUCGGAUUUACUGGGCGUAAAGGGCGCGUAGGCGGCAAUUCAAGUCAGCUGUGAAAUCUCUGGGCUUAACCCAGAACGGCCAGCUGAUACUGUCGUGCUAGAGUGCGGAAGGGGCUACUGGAAUUCUCGGUGUAGCGGUGAAAUGCGUAGAUAUCGAGAGGAACACCUGCGGCGAAGGCGGGUAGCUGGGCCGACACUGACGCUGAGGCGCAAAGCCAGGGGAGCGAACGGG